RNAcentral lists this ribosomal RNA (120 nucleotides) under Tropilaelaps mercedesae. Lineage: Eukaryota; Metazoa; Arthropoda; Arachnida; Mesostigmata; Laelapidae. The record is from RNAcentral.
UCCAUCGGCCAUACCAUGUUGAAAUACGCCGGUUCUCGUCCAAUCACCGAAGCUAAGCAACGUUGGGUCCGGGUAGUACUUGGAAGGGAGACCGCCUGGGAGCACUGGGUAUUGAUGGCA